Molecule: non-coding RNA, 187 nt
Filed under: Acidobacteriota bacterium
Lineage: Bacteria; Pseudomonadati; Acidobacteriota
Description: Acidobacteria bacterium (groundwater metagenome) 6S RNA
Rfam family: 6S / SsrS RNA
About the family: E. coli 6S RNA was the first non coding RNA to be sequenced, but its function was unknown until recently. It consists of 184 nucleotides that fold into an extended hairpin structure with a large single-stranded internal bulge. The 6S RNA specifically associates with RNA polymerase holoenzyme containing the sigma70 specificity factor.
Source: RNAcentral
AGUUCCCUGCUUUGCCCGUGAUGGUUCGGAGGCUCGCUUGAGCCGAUGUUCCAUUAAAUAAGCGAAUCGCGACGCCGCGCGGUGUGCAUGCCUCGGUGCGAGGAAGCCUGAAGCGCGGCUGACCAGAGCGGUUCCACCUGCUUUCGCAGGUUCAUGCGACCUCCCCACACGGCAAAGCGGGGCCUUU